This 300-nucleotide long non-coding RNA is filed under the name Phoenix dactylifera (date palm). RNAcentral describes it as "long non-coding RNA (PDAC_LNC009077)". The record is from RNAcentral. Lineage: Eukaryota; Viridiplantae; Streptophyta; Magnoliopsida; Arecales; Arecaceae.
GAGAGUUAGGAGGUGAUGAAUGGAGGUUGGGAAAUGAGCUGAGAAAUGUCUCAAACAGGUGGAUACCGCCUCUAUAUUUUUGUUUUGAAACUUCUUUGAUAUUGUGGUUUUGUAAGAACUAAUUAGAUCUCUUAAAAAUUCAGAGAAAAGGUUAUAUUCACGUAUAUGUGGUUCUGCCUUAUUGUUUGAACUUUUGGUUAUUUGGACUUGGCCUAUGAUCAAAUCAAACUUGUUAGAAAUACCGUUGGUUCUGGAAUUUUAUUUAAAUGUUAGAAUGAUUGAUAUAUGUUGUCUGACAAA